This 103-nucleotide microRNA precursor is filed under the name Marmota monax (woodchuck). The record is from RNAcentral. Lineage: Eukaryota; Metazoa; Chordata; Mammalia; Rodentia; Sciuridae.
AGUAUGAUUAUUGGAUCAUAUGGUAUGACUAUGUUUAGCUUUCUAAGAAACUGCCCAACUGUUUUCCAAAGUAGCUGUACCAUUUUAUAUUCCUAUCAGCAGU